This 253-nucleotide ribosomal RNA is filed under the name uncultured bacterium. RNAcentral's name for it is "partial 16S ribosomal RNA". It matches the Rfam family "Bacterial small subunit ribosomal RNA", at positions 524 to 776 of the family's 1533-position model. The record is from RNAcentral.
UACGAAGGGGGCUAGCGUUGCUCGGAAUCACUGGGCGUAAAGCGCACGUAGGCGGAUCUUUAAGUCAGGGGUGAAAUCCCAAGGCUCAACCUUGGAACUGCCUUUGAUACUGGGGAUCUCGAGUCCGGAAGAGGUUGGUGGAACUGCGAGUGUAGAGGUGAAAUUCGUAGAUAUUCGCAAGAACACCGGUGGCGAAGGCGGCGACCUGGGUAGAUACUGACGCUGAGGCGCGAAAGCGUGGGGAGCAAACAGG